RNAcentral lists this transfer RNA (87 nucleotides) under Erysipelotrichaceae bacterium. RNAcentral's name for it is "tRNA-Leu". It matches the Rfam family "tRNA". Rfam says of the family: Transfer RNA (tRNA) molecules are approximately 80 nucleotides in length. Their secondary structure includes four short double-helical elements and three loops (D, anti-codon, and T loops). The record is from RNAcentral. Lineage: Bacteria; Bacillati; Bacillota; Erysipelotrichia; Erysipelotrichales; Erysipelotrichaceae. RNAcentral also lists the same sequence under 1 other name.
GCUCGAGUGGCGGAAUCGGCAGACGCAGUGGACUCAAAAUCCACCGGGAUAAAACCCUUGAGGGUUCAAGUCCCUCCUCGAGCACCA